Molecule: long non-coding RNA, 720 nt
Organism: Helicoverpa armigera (cotton bollworm)
Lineage: Eukaryota; Metazoa; Arthropoda; Insecta; Lepidoptera; Noctuidae
Exons: 2
Source: RefSeq, a predicted model, not a curated record
UCGAGGUAUUUCCUGUCGACCAAAUGCACAUCAAAAAUGAGUUCUGUCGAAGUAAUAAUCAGACUAGUGAUUUUCUAAGUAAAGUCGAGUUCAGAGUGACAGCCGUAGUCAUCAGUAAUAAUAAGUAAAUUGUAAGUAAUAGUAUAUCAAGCAGCAGUUUAGCAUUUAAAAAGCCCUUAACAACGUCAAAAAAUUAUCAUUUAGAACUCAAAAAGGUUUCGAUCAAUUUUCCUCAUUGUAUAUUAUGUGAUACUUACCUGUUUAGUGUGUAUCAGUAAAAUGAAAUAAUAAGUAAAAAAAGAAUACGUAUUUGUUUUCGAAAUGCACGGGUUUUGUGGGACAGAUUUGAAUAUAUAAAGCUUUAGUGCAUACUGCAAAUCAUCACAGUGCUCUGCAAGUAUUCCACAAGUCAAAAUGAAAUUCUUCGCAUUCGUCGCUCUGCUGUUGUGUGCGGUCAUGGCCUUCGCCAGUGCCGGCGUGGCUCCGCAACUGCCUGACGUAGCGAACCCCGAAGCUCCCAGGCUGGUCCGCAGCCCCGGCUACUAUCACAAGAAGGAGGAACAUCAUCAUCAUCACCACUAUGGCGGCUACGGAUACGGUUACCACGGAUAAACUUAAUUAACUCAAUGAGUUUGUUCUUACAACAUUGUAGUUACCAUUUUCAGUGAUAUACUAUGUAAUUUUUGUGUAUUAAAAAUAUUUAUGUUUUUACUUAUUAGA